AUUGCAGGAGUUAAAAUUUAGCUAAUCCUUAAUUAAAUUAUAUAACCAAAUCACAUUAGUAAUUUCCUAAUUUGUAAGAAUAAUGACAAAAUCAAGAGAGACAACAAUAAAAUCAUGAAUUAGAUGGUCUCGAAAUAGUUGAGCCCAUCAAGCUUUGGCACAAACCUUGGGGCUUUGCUUGGUGGUUGCUUCUGUUUUGUUGGUCAUCAAUGAUAAAGAUGAGUUUUGCUGCAAUUGAAGAGAUGACGAGCUAAGAAUUCAGUCCAUGGCAGGGACAAUGACGAUGCAUGGUAGGGACCAUGAUGAGACUCAACUUGG
This 318-nucleotide unclassified non-coding RNA is filed under the name Hevea brasiliensis (rubber tree). Lineage: Eukaryota; Viridiplantae; Streptophyta; Magnoliopsida; Malpighiales; Euphorbiaceae. The record is from RNAcentral.